GACUAACUGCUGUGGACGUGUUUUCUCACUGCUGCCUUUGUCCCUGCGGCUCUGCGCAGGCCUGGAAUCCAAACAUAAAAGCCGCUGCUACCUGCGAGGACACAAAGGAUGACGGGGGGCCGCCGGGGGACCUGCAGGCAUGAGCCAUGAAACAUUUGAGAAAAAAAAAAACCCAAGCGCUUCCCGUCUGAAGCGGGCCGCCGGCUUCCUGAGCGUCGCAGCGGCUCGGGCCCCAGUUUCUGCUUCCCAACUGCCAAGAGGCGCAGGGGCCACCUGCGUGUGUGACGCGGCCCCCGAAGGCCCCGGCUGCACAGACUCACACACUCGCGAAUGAAGAACUGGUUUUGCCUCGACGGAAGCACACCGCGUCGAUCCGUGCACCUCGUGUGGCCCAUCCUUUUUUUUUUUUACUGCAUCUGACGUCUUCAGAGAUGCGGCGAAGGAAGCGACGAACACAACGUGCGGCGGAAUUAUCGCUGCCUCGUGAACUUCUCGCCUGCCCCCAAGUCCUACAAGAGAGGCGUCAACAAGAUGAAUGACCUGUCAGUGUGGGAGUGAGGUGCAUUCCAGAGCUCAAGGCAUUCUUAAUACUCACCAGAUUUCUUAGGAAGAUUGUUACAGAAUGAUGACAUAAUUCAGACACAGGGACAACGUCUCCAUGUAGUAAUUCACGUUGUGUAAAUUCCUUUUCAAACUGGCCUUCGUUAGAUUGUCGACCUCUGACCUGAGUCACUACUUAUUGAUCAUGUCAACCAAAUCAGAGAUAAAUGGUGAAGUGAAAUUAGAUAUUUAGUUUGGCAUUUUAAAUAAGGUAUCGAUUAGAGAUUAGAGAUCAGAGAUCAGAGAUCAGGGAUCAGGGA
Gasterosteus aculeatus aculeatus (three-spined stickleback) is the source of this 860-nucleotide long non-coding RNA. NCBI's taxonomy places the organism in Eukaryota, Metazoa, Chordata, Actinopteri, Perciformes, Gasterosteidae. The record is from Ensembl.